This 503-nucleotide ribosomal RNA is filed under the name uncultured bacterium. RNAcentral describes it as "partial 16S ribosomal RNA". It matches the Rfam family "Bacterial small subunit ribosomal RNA", at positions 29 to 507 of the family's 1533-position model. The record is from RNAcentral.
AACGAACGCUGGCGGCGUGCCUAACACAUGCAAGUCGAACGAGAAAAGGGCAUCAGCUCCGUGUUAAGUGGCGCAAGGGUGAGUAACACGAGGGAAACCUGCCUAUCAGCUUGGGAUAACUCGUCGAAAGAUGAACUAAUACCGUAUAAGACCACAGUUCCUGCGGGAACAGGGAUCAAAGGUAGCCACUGCUUGCGAGCUAUCAAUUCGAUAUGGGCUUGCGGACCUUUAGCUAGGUGGUAGGGUCACGGCCUACCAACGGAAAGAUGGUUAGCUGGUCUUGGAGGAAGGUCAACCAAAAUUGGACUGAGACACCGGUCAGGACUCUAACGGGAGCAGGAGUUGGGAAUUUUGCGCAAUAGGCGGAAGCUUUACUCAGGAAAGCCGGGUUGGUGGUGGAAGCCCUCGGGUUGUAAAAGUCUGUCUGUUGGGAAGGAUGAUCCGGAGGUUAACAGCCUCGUGUUGUGACGGUACCUACAAAAUAAGCACCGGCUAACUCUGUG